CGCACCUUGCGCUCCUUGGUAUUCCGAGGAGCAUGCUUGUUUGAGUGUCAUGGUCUUCUCAACCCCUUUGUGUUUUUAAUCGAACGCAACCGGGCUUGGACUUGGAGGCUUUUGCGGGCUUCGGGACCUUCCGGUCCAGGAGCCGGCUCCUCUGAAAUGCAUUAGCUUGAACAGAACCAAGCAUGAUUCAACGUGAUAAUUGUCUACGUUGCUUCAUCUCGGUGAACUUCAAUGUUUGGGCUUCCAACCGUCCUCCGGGAUACUAUCGGAACAUCUGACCUCAAAUCAAGUAGGACUACCCGCUGAACUUAA
Molecule: unclassified non-coding RNA, 312 nt
Filed under: Steccherinaceae sp.
Lineage: Eukaryota; Fungi; Basidiomycota; Agaricomycetes; Polyporales; Steccherinaceae
Description: partial contains 5.8S ribosomal RNA, internal transcribed spacer 2, and large subunit ribosomal RNA
Source: RNAcentral